Molecule: ribosomal RNA, 301 nt
Filed under: uncultured bacterium
Lineage: Bacteria
Description: partial 16S ribosomal RNA
Rfam family: Bacterial small subunit ribosomal RNA
Source: RNAcentral
CAGCAGCCGCGGGAAUACAGAGGGUGCAAGCGUUAAUCGGAAUUACUGGGCGUAAAGCGCGCGUAGGCGGCUUUUUAAGUCGGAUGUGAAAUCCCUGAGCUUAACUUAGGAAUUGCAUUCGAUACUGGGAAGCUAGAGUAUGGGAGAGGAUGGUAGAAUUCCAGGUGUAGCGGUGAAAUGCGUAGAGAUCUGGAGGAAUACCGAUGGCGAAGGCAGCCAUCUGGCCUAAUACUGACGCUGAGGUACGAAAGCAUGGGGAGCAAACAGGAUUAGAUACCCCCGUAGUCCCUGUCUCUUAUAC